Molecule: ribosomal RNA, 500 nt
Filed under: uncultured bacterium
Lineage: Bacteria
Description: partial 16S ribosomal RNA
Rfam family: Bacterial small subunit ribosomal RNA
Source: RNAcentral
AUUGAACGCUGGCGGCAGGCUUAACACAUGCAAGUCGAGCGGGGUGAUGAUGCUUGCACUAUCACUUAGCGGCGGACGGGUGAGUAAUGCUUAGGAAUCUGCCUAUUAGUGGGGGACAACAUCUCGAAAGGGAUGCUAAUACGCAUACGUCCUACGGGAGAAAGCAGGGGAUCACUUGUGACCUUGCGCUAAUAGAUGAGCCUAAGUCGGAUUAGCUAGUUGGUGGGUAAAGGCCUACCAAGGCGACGAUCUGUAGCGGGUCUGAGAGGAUGAUCCGCCACACUGGGACUGAGACACGGCCCAGACUCCUACGGGAGGCAGCAGUGGGGAGUAUUGGACAAUGGGGGGAACCUGAUCCAGCCAUGCCGCGUGUGUGAAGAAGGCCUUAUGGUUGUAAAGCACUUUAAGCGAGGAGGAGGCUCUUUUGGUUAAUACCCAAGAUGAGUGGACGUUACUCGCAGAAUAAGCACCGGCUAACUCUGUGCCAGCCGCCGCGGUAA